RNAcentral lists this ribosomal RNA (445 nucleotides) under uncultured bacterium. RNAcentral describes it as "partial 16S ribosomal RNA". It matches the Rfam family "Bacterial small subunit ribosomal RNA", at positions 354 to 796 of the family's 1533-position model. The record is from RNAcentral.
GUGAGGAAUAUUGGUCAAUGGGCGAGAGCCUGAACCAGCCAAGUCGCGUGAAGGAAGAAGGAUCUAUGGUUCGUAAACUUCUUUUGCAGGGGAAUAAAGUGCAGGACGUGUCCUGUUUUGUAUGUACCCUGAGAAUAAGGAUCGGCUAACUCCGUGCCAGCAGCCGCGGUAAUACGGAGGAUCCGAGCGUUAUCCGGAUUUAUUGGGUUUAAAGGGUGCGUAGGUGGUUUGAUAAGUCAGCGGUGAAAGUUUGCAGCUUAACUGUAAAAAUGCCUCUGGAACUGUCGGACUUGAGUGUAAAUGAGGUAGGCGGAAUGCGUGGUGUAGCGGUGAAAUGCAUAGAUAUCACGCAGAACUCCGAUUGCGAAGGCAGCUUACUAAGCUACAACUGACACUGAAGCACGAAAGCGUGGGGAUCAAACAGGAUUAGAUACCCCAGUAGUCC